This 487-nucleotide ribosomal RNA is filed under the name uncultured bacterium. RNAcentral describes it as "partial 16S ribosomal RNA". It matches the Rfam family "Bacterial small subunit ribosomal RNA", at positions 899 to 1397 of the family's 1533-position model. The record is from RNAcentral.
ACUCAAAGGAAUUGACGGGGGCCCGCACAAGCAGCGGAGCGUGUGGUUUAAUUCGAUGCAACACGAAGAACCUUACCAAGGCUUGACAUACUAGAAGUAGGAAACCGAAAGGCGGACGACCUGUUAAGUCAGGAGCUAGCACAGGUGCUGCAUGGCUGUCGUCAGCUCGUGCCGUGAGGUGUUGGGUUAAGUCCCGCAACGAGCGCAACCCUCGUUGCCAGUUGUUUUCUCUGGCGAGACUGCCCCGUAGAACGGGGAGGAAGGUGGGGAUGACGUCAAGUCAGCAUGGCCUUUAUGCCUUGGGCUACACACACGCCACAAUGGUCGGUACAAUUAGUAGCAAGGGAGCGAUCCGGAGCUAAUCUGUAAAACCGAUCUCAGUUCGGAUUGCAGGCUGAAACCUGCCUGCAUGAAGCUGGAGUUGCUAGUAACCGCAUAUCAGCAUGGUGCGGUGAAUACGUUCUCGGGCCUUGUACACACCGCCCGU